RNAcentral lists this transfer RNA (69 nucleotides) under Azygia robusta. Its description in RNAcentral is "tRNA-Asp". The record is from RNAcentral. Lineage: Eukaryota; Metazoa; Platyhelminthes; Trematoda; Azygiida; Azygiidae.
UCCUUCUUAGUUUAGUUAGGUCAGAAUUUUAACUUGUCGAGUUAGAGGGGGGCUUUGGCCCAGGGGGAU